RNAcentral lists this ribosomal RNA (393 nucleotides) under uncultured bacterium. Its description in RNAcentral is "partial 16S ribosomal RNA". It matches the Rfam family "Bacterial small subunit ribosomal RNA", at positions 523 to 918 of the family's 1533-position model. The record is from RNAcentral.
AUACGGAGGAUGCAAGCGUUAUCCGGAUUUAUUGGGUUUAAAGGGUGCGUAGGCGGUUUGCUAAGCGGGAGGUGAAAUGCCGGCGCUCAACGUCGGAAGUGCCUCCCGAACUGGUGGACUGGAAUGACUCUGCCGUGGGAGGAAUGUGGAGUGUAGCGGUGAAAUGCUUAGAGAUUACACAGAACACCGAUUGCGAAGGCAUCUCACGAAGGGUUGAUUGACGCUGAGGCACGAAAGCGUGGGGAUCAAACAGGAUUAGAUACCCUGGUAGUCCACGCAGUAAACGAUGAUGGCUAACCGCUGGUUUUUUCGGAUCAGUGGCCAAGCGAAAGCGAUAAGCCAUCCACCAGGGGAGUACGACCGCAAGGUUGAAACUCAAAUGAAUUGACGGGG